This 237-nucleotide ribosomal RNA is filed under the name uncultured bacterium. Its description in RNAcentral is "partial 16S ribosomal RNA". It matches the Rfam family "Bacterial small subunit ribosomal RNA", at positions 123 to 353 of the family's 1533-position model. The record is from RNAcentral.
AACCUGCCUUGUAGCGGGGGAUAACUAUUGGAAACGAUAGCUAAUACCGCAUAACAAUGGAUGACACAUGUCAUUUAUUUGAAAGGGGCAAUUGCUCCACUACAAGAUGGACCUGCGUUGUAUUAGCUAGUAGGUGAGGUAACGGCUCACCUAGGCGACGAUACAUAGCCGACCUGAGAGGGUGAUCGGCCACACUGGGACUGAGACACGGCCCAGACUCCUACGGGAGGCAGCAUG